RNAcentral lists this RNase P RNA (379 nucleotides) under Candidatus Shapirobacteria bacterium CG10_big_fil_rev_8_21_14_0_10_40_9. Its description in RNAcentral is "RNase P RNA component class A". It matches the Rfam family "Bacterial RNase P class A". From Rfam's summary of the family: Ribonuclease P (RNase P) is a ubiquitous endoribonuclease, found in archaea, bacteria and eukarya as well as chloroplasts and mitochondria. Lineage: Bacteria; Candidatus Shapironibacteriota. The record is from RNAcentral.
UAAGGAGACUGGGUAAUCGCACUGAAAAAUUAUUCAAUUUUUUAGUGAGGAAAGUCCAGACAGCAGAAAGCAGGGUGUCCCGACUAAUACCGGGAUGUCCCGCCCUAAAGGCGGGGCCAAGAUAGGGCCACAGAGACGAGUGAUGUGAAACGCCCUCCUACGCGUAAAGCUACGGAGGGGUCCCCCCGAAGCCCGUAUGGGCGAAGGGGGAAGGCAACCCUCCCCGCUGCAAUCUCCGAAAGACCCGUUUACCCCGCUUAGCGGGGCAAGAGGAUGCUUUCCUGAGGGUCGAGGUUUGAGAGCAUUAGAUUGAUGAUUGCCUUAACCCCUGACUUGAUCAGGGGCAAGACAGAAUCUGGCUUACGGGUCUCCUUAAGGA